ACGGGGUGGGGGGGGGGGGUUCUCAUUCAAUUCCCUCACUCCUCCUGUGCCUUUUAACUAACUUUGAAAUUCCUCUGGCUGCUGGUGCCUCCGUGCUGUUUCCAAGGGCUGGAGCCCCACACUGAUUUAUUUGGUAACCAUCGCAGGAAUUUCAGAAAAUGAGAACUGGAGGAGGAAGCGAGGCCUGAAGUAAUUAAGAUGAUUUGUUACACGCGAUUCAGAUCCUUCAGAUGAGAGUGAAUAUUAAGCUUAGUAUUUACAACACACCCAGAAGAACAGUACCUUCCGAUAACCCAUUCUAAAAUGGAGAAGCUACUGGAUGGGGAAGGUUUCAAGAAGUCAUAAAGAGAGAAAGGAGAGACUUUCA
Sapajus apella (tufted capuchin) is the source of this 367-nucleotide long non-coding RNA. RefSeq lists it as uncharacterized. Lineage: Eukaryota; Metazoa; Chordata; Mammalia; Primates; Cebidae. The record is from RefSeq and is a predicted model, not a curated record. The transcript has 3 exons.